Long non-coding RNA from Phragmites australis (common reed), 476 nucleotides. RefSeq lists it as uncharacterized. The transcript is spliced from 2 exons. NCBI's taxonomy places the organism in Eukaryota, Viridiplantae, Streptophyta, Magnoliopsida, Poales, Poaceae. The record is from RefSeq and is a predicted model, not a curated record.
UUCAUGGCCACGCAUCCUUGUAGAUAGAGACUAGGAACUCCAUUGGGGUAGAAACCAACCUCAACCCAGGUUCAAGUCUACACUACAUAUUCUCCUCCCUCUCUGAUUGUGGUCUGCACCAAAACACACCCAAAAAAAAAAAUCCCAAAUCAACAGGACGGUAAGGUUGAGAGAGGCUGAGAGAAAUCAGGGGAAGUGAAGUGAUUUUGCUACUAAGGUAUUUGAUGCAUGUCGUGAAGGGAUGGGAAUGUAGCAGCACAUUUUGCACUUCAUGUAUGUAAUUUUUUUUAUCAUUGUGUUGUAUUAAUAAAUAAAGUUUAGUCCUUAGAGUUGCACAUUUGAAGUUUAAAGUGUGGUGGUGAAGUUAAACUUAAUAUUUUCCUUUUGGUUCAUGUUAGGAUGUUUUUAUCUGUUAUUGUGAUAUUCUGCAUAUCUUGUUUAUCUGUGUUAAUGCUUCCGCGAUGCUUAUUUUUAUA